RNAcentral lists this ribosomal RNA (497 nucleotides) under uncultured bacterium. RNAcentral describes it as "partial 16S ribosomal RNA". It matches the Rfam family "Bacterial small subunit ribosomal RNA", at positions 28 to 507 of the family's 1533-position model. The record is from RNAcentral.
GAUGAACGCUGGCGGCGUGCCUAAUACAUGCAAGUCGAGCGAACGGACGAGAAGCUUGCUUCUCUGAUGUUAGCGGCGGACGGGUGAGUAACACGUGGAUAACCUACUUAUAAGACUGGGAUAACUUCGGGAAACCGGAGCUAAUACCGGAUAAUAUUUUGAACCGCAUGGUUCAAAAGUGAAAGACGGCCUUGCUGUCACUUAUCGCUGGAUCCGCGCUGCAUUAGCUAGUUGGUAAGGUAACGGGUUACCAAGGCAACGAUGCGUAGCCGACGUGAUAGGGUGGUCGGCCGCACGGGAGGUGAGACGCGGUCCAGGCUCCUACGGGAGGCAGCAGUAGGGAAUCGGCCGCAAUGGGCGGAAGCCUGACGGAGCAACGCGGCGUGAGUGAUGAAGGUCUUCGGAUCGGAAAAAUCUGUUAUUAGGGAAGAACAGAUGUGUAAGUAGCUGUGCACAGCUUGACGGUACCUGAUCAGAAAGCCACGGCUAACUACGUG